This 501-nucleotide ribosomal RNA is filed under the name uncultured bacterium. RNAcentral's name for it is "partial 16S ribosomal RNA". It matches the Rfam family "Bacterial small subunit ribosomal RNA", at positions 30 to 523 of the family's 1533-position model. The record is from RNAcentral.
AUUGAACGCUGGCGGCAGGCUUAACACAUGCAAGUCGAGCGGAGAUGAGGUGCUUGCACCUUAUCUUAGCGGCGGACGGGUGAGUAAUGCUUAGGAAUCUGCCAUUUAGUGGGGGACAACAUUCCGAAAGGAAUGCUAAUACCGCAUACGUCCUACGGGAGAAAGCAGGGGAUCUUCGGACCUUGCGCUAAAUGAUGAGCCUAAGUCGGAUUAGCUAGUUGGUGGGGUAAAGGCCUACCAAGGCGACGAUCUGUAGCGGGUCUGAGAGGAUGAUCCGCCACACUGGGACUGAGACACCGCCCAGACUCCUACGGGAGGCAGCAGUGGGGAAUAUUGGACAAUGGGCGGAAGCCUGAUCCAGCCAUGCCGCGUGUGUGAAGAAGGCCUUUUGGUUGUAAAGCACUUUAAGCGAGGAGGAGGCUACCUGGAUUAAUACUCUGGGAUAGUGGACGUUACUCGCAGAAUAAGCACCGGCUAACUCUGUGCCAGCCGCCGCCGUAA